CUAAGUUUGAUGGCGACCGGCGCACGGGUGAGUAACACGUAUCCAACCUGCCGAUGACUCGGGGAUAGCCUUUCGAAAGAAAGAUUAAUACCCGAUGGCAUAGUUCUUCCGCAUGGUGGAACUAUUAAAGAAUUUCGGUCAUCGAUGGGGAUGCGUUCCAUUAGGUUGUUGGCGGGGUAACGGCCCACCAAGCCUUCGAUGGAUAGGGGUUCUGAGAGGAGGGUCCCCCACAUUGGAACUGAGACACGGUCCAAACUCCUACGGGAGGCAGCAUG
Molecule: ribosomal RNA, 275 nt
Filed under: uncultured bacterium
Lineage: Bacteria
Description: partial 16S ribosomal RNA
Rfam family: Bacterial small subunit ribosomal RNA
Source: RNAcentral